GGACAUGGCAUGGAACGUGUGUGCGGAAAAGUUCGAACAUCAAGUGACCCUUGAAGCGCUACAACACUUAAAUGCACUCUUUCAGGAGUAUGAGAAAAGAGGAAGACAGCUGUUGGAUAUGGAGACUUUCAAAUGCAUAAUGAAGCAGAGCAUGAGGUUACAGAAUAAAAGUACUGAACAAAUAGAACAACUUUUCAUGAAAAUAGACUAUGAAGCAGUGGGCAGAAUUCAUUGGGAUGGCUUCUGCACAUAUCUGCAGUUAGCAUAUUCAGAGCAAGCUGAUGCUUUGGCUCGACAGAAAGAGGUUUCCUUCCAGCUGCCUGCUGUGCUGCAGGGACUGUCGUACGGGGGACCCGUGCUGCGCAUUCUCUCUGUGCCUGAUGACACCUUAAUCAUGAUCAGAGAAGAUGGAGCCAUUUAUUUCUGGUCCCUGCAGCUGAAGUUGAAAAGAAGAAAGCGAGUUUUUGACAAGCCCAUCAUUCGGAAGCGCCGGUGGGUGACGGAUGCCACCAGCAUGCCACAGUACAACAAACUGAUCCUAGGAACUGGAAACCGUGAAAUCCAGCUGUAUGAGUUCUCUAACUUGGAGCCUUACUGUCAGAUUGGUGGCCUGGAAGCUGUCCCUCUGAAACUGGACUACUGGUACGAGGAUCCUGACAAGUGCCUGAUUCUCUAUGGUGAUGACCAGGCUGAAAAAAAACUUAAAAUGAAGGUAGCCUUAAAGAGUUCAUGUUGCCAUCUAGCAAAGUGAUGAGUUGUGCUCCAGAGGGAAAUAAGUUCAGAAGCAUUGGCUGUGCCUGUCUCACCUAACAUCGCCUCACCAUCCUUCAUCGGCUUUCAGAGUCUUCACGGUUUGGAAUCAGGGAUGAGCAUAAGGGAAGCUACAUUGGCAACAUGGCGACAAAAGCAAGGGAAACUCAGUUCAUCAUCAUCAUAUCACAAAGGCUGUCUCCACGAGCGACUUUCCUUGGGCUUCUUCUUUUGUUGCAUCUAGCCCAGGCUUGUGCACUUGAAGAUCAUUUGAUAAUAUUCAUCAGUGUUAUGUUCAGCAUGCUAACCGGUUUCUUAAGAAGGGCAGUA
RNAcentral lists this long non-coding RNA (1080 nucleotides) under Sus scrofa (pig). Its description in RNAcentral is "lncRNA (ENSSSCG00030011783.1)". Lineage: Eukaryota; Metazoa; Chordata; Mammalia; Artiodactyla; Suidae. The record is from RNAcentral.